This 349-nucleotide ribosomal RNA is filed under the name uncultured soil bacterium. RNAcentral describes it as "bacterial SSU rRNA". It matches the Rfam family "Bacterial small subunit ribosomal RNA", at positions 26 to 375 of the family's 1533-position model. The record is from RNAcentral.
AGAUUGAACGCUGGCGGCAUGCCUUACACAUGCAAGUCGAACGGCAGCACGGGAGCAAUCCUGGUGGCGAGUGGCGAACGGGUGAGUAAUACAUCGGAACGUGCCCAAUCGUGGGGGAUAACGCAGCGAAAGCUGUGCUAAUACCGCAUAAGAUCUACGGAUGAAAGCAGGGGAUCGCAAGACCUUGCGCGAAUGGAGCGGCCGAUGGCAGAUUAGGUAGUUGGUGAGGUAAAGGCUCACCAAGCCUUCGAUCUGUAGCUGGUCUGAGAGGACGACCAGCCACACUGGGACUGAGACACGGCCCAGACUCCGUACGGGAGCAGCAGGUGGGGUAAUUUUGGACAAUGGG